This is an RNA transcript of Populus euphratica (Euphrates poplar), 2270 nucleotides long. It is a transcript of the gene named S-adenosyl-L-methionine-dependent methyltransferases superfamily protein, with no coding region annotated. NCBI's taxonomy places the organism in Eukaryota, Viridiplantae, Streptophyta, Magnoliopsida, Malpighiales, Salicaceae. The transcript has 12 exons. The record is from RefSeq and is a predicted model, not a curated record.
AUAAAGCAUACGGAUACUAUUAUGAAUAAAAAAAUAUAGGAUAAAACCCUGGAGGAUAAAAUCUUUUCUAUUGAAGAAACGACGUCGUUUUAAGCACCCCAAUCGCUAAUACCUAAUAUCUCCUCCUCAGUUCAGUUCUACUGAGACGGACCCUUCUUUCUUCUUUGAUUUUGUUCUACAAGUUGUGUUGCCGGCGCAUCCUGAUUUCCUCCCCUCUUUCUUCUUCGAAAAUCACAAUUGAAAAUACAAACGCACACUGAUUGCUUUGCCAAGCCCAGGUACCAAGGACAAUCCUUGAAGAAGAUUUUCUUCUUCUUCUUGCAUAGCCGAGGAAAUGUUGGAUGAAAGCAAAUUUGAUGUUGAUAUGAAAUUAUGGGCACUUAGAAUCCCUUGUCAGCUUUGCAAAGCCGCCACUCGCAUUUUAAACGGAUAUUUGCUUGACAAGCCCAGAAUCAAACCUAUUACUGAAGAUCCAACUUGCCAAAAGAAUCGUUAUAUGAUAUUGUCUGAUAGAGUUCAAAGUCAUGAUUUGUCAGAGAUAUCACCUCAGAAGCUUGAUGAAUUGAAGAAAUUAUGUGAGAUUCAAGUAAUUCCUUAUUCGUUGACACUCGGAUAUUCCUAUUGGAGUGCAGAUCAUGUAUUGAAGCAGAUUCUGCCUCCUGGAGUGGAGGUGCCUUCAUCUUUUGAAACAAUAGGUCAAAUUGCCCAUCUAAAUAUACAUGAUGAACUGCUUCCCUUCAAGGAUGUUAUUGCUAAGGUUAUUUAUGAUAAAAAUUAUCCCAGGAUAAAGACUGUUGUUAAUAAAGUUGGAACUAUCACAAAUGAGUUUCGGGUGCCAAAGUUUGAAAUUUUAGCAGGAGAAAGUGACAUGGUCACGGAAGUGAAGCAAUAUGGGGCAACGUUUAAGCUUGAUUACAGCUUGGUUUACUGGAAUUCAAGAUUGGAACAUGAACACAUAAGGUUGGUUUCUCAAUUUCAACGAGGAGAGAUCAUCUGUGACAUGUUUGCUGGGAUUGGUCCUUUCGCUAUUCCAGCAGCACAGAAAGGAUGCAUUGUUUAUGCAAAUGAUUUGAACCCAGAUAGCAUUCGCUACUUGAAGAUUAAUGCAGAAAUCAAUAAGGUUGAUGAUUGCAUUUGUGCAUACAAUAUGGAUGCUAGGAAAUUUAUUUCUCAACUUAUGGAAGCACCAGUUUGUGAAAAUAAUGCAGAAUGCAAUGUUUCAAUGCUUAAAGCAUGUGAGGAUUGCAGCGUACAGGAAAAUGAGGAAUCAAGGGUAGAAAAUACAAGAAUGGGAGUUGAAGCAGAGGAAGCACCCGUUACUGUUUCGGGUAACGUGGAGGGUGCACAAGAUUUGAAUAGAAAUAUACACACUUCUGUAGCUGCAACUAAAAGACCUUCGGAUUGUUGCUUGGAAGGUAUCAUAAGCGCCAAAUUCAGGGUUAAUGCAAAACAUAAAAUGGAAGCAUCAAUGGUGAUGGUGCAAUGGAUGCUCUUAGGAGAAAGGGAGGCAAAAAAAAGAGGAUGAGAGCCUUGGAGCUUCCCAAUACUAAGCCUUGGGAGCAUGUUGAUCAUAUAGUCAUGAACCUUCCUGCUUCUGCCCUACAUUUUCUUGAUGCAUUCAAGGGGCGUAUUCAGAGGAAGGAUUGGAAAGGACCUCUUCCCUUGAUUCACUGCUAUUGUUUCAUGCGAGCAAAUCAAACCCAAGAAUUGAUAGUUUCGGAGGCAGAGUCUGCCUUGAAUACUCACAUACAUGAACCAAUAUUUCACAGGGUUAGGGAUGUUGCUCCAAAUAAGGCCAUGUUUUGCUUAAGCUUUAGGCUACCAGAAGCAUGUUUCAAAGAUAAUGCCACUAACGUUUAGAUUCUGCUGAGGGAGGGAGUUUUAGACACCAUAAAAUCUUUCCUGUCCAUACACCACUCACGCCAUCAGUUUCCUAUAGAUUUUGUUCCCUUUACAGGGUUGGCAGCAGAAACAAACUUCGCUUUGAGAUGACCUCCAAGAAAUCUGACCUGAUAAAUAUAUUUUCCGUUUUCUAUUCAGUUUUGUCUGAUCCAUUGAGUUGGUGUAUUUUCAGUUAUGAUCAAGACACCCAUUUUUGGCAAUGUUAGUAUCAAUGUCCUAUUAUCGUUUUGCUGUUAUACUUGGGUCAAAUUAGGUGGAAGCCAAUCCAUACUAGUUGGUAAAUAUGGGUAAGACAAGGCCAGCCAAACAUGUUAUGCUUCGCUCCAUGUCGAACAUGAAGGAUUGCCACUUUCUGCCUGUUUAUCUGA